Phascolarctos cinereus (koala) is the source of this 609-nucleotide non-coding RNA. The record is from RefSeq and is a predicted model, not a curated record. NCBI's taxonomy places the organism in Eukaryota, Metazoa, Chordata, Mammalia, Diprotodontia, Phascolarctidae.
UCCCCUCCUUUCCCCCUUCCUCUGUCUCUCUCUGUCUCUCUCUCCCCCCCUCUCAUUUAGGCACCAGCACCUACAUCCAAGAGAAGCAUUUCCUGCAGACAUCUGUGCUCAGUAGACCACCAUCUAGCAGGCCAGCUCAUAAAGAUCAAGAUUGCCUCAGGACUUGGCCUCCUCCAGUCGCCUCCAUUGUUCAGAGCUCGUCCUUCCUUCUUGAGGCCCAGAAGAAAGACAACUUCACUCUUGGCUAACUGCCGAACUGCCUGUGUGGCUUUAGGCAAAGCCUUCUUCUCUCUGGGCUGUCUCAGUUUCAUCAUCUUUAAAAUGGGGUUCCUGCAAUCACGCCUCAGCAAGGGACCUGCUGUGGGAUUUCUGCUCUCCAGGGAUGGCUAUCAACUCUACUAGAAACACCCCAAACCCACCAACCGGUAUUCGGAUUCAGAGCAUUUCUUCCCAUGGCCGUUGCUGGCUUGGCUUUCUUCUUUCACAGAUUGCCUGUUUAUCUCCUUUGACCAUUUAUUAAUCAAGAGAAAAUAAAUUUGUUAAUUUUUAAAAAUUCAAUUAAAUGUAGAAAUCAUCCCAUCUCUUGCUUUCCUGUUGACUGAUUGCCAG